AUUGAACGCUGGCGGCAGGCCUAACACAUGCAAGUCGAGCGGCAGCGGAAGGAAGCUUGCUUCCUUGCCGGCGAGCGGCGGACGGGUGAGUAAGGUAUGGGGAUCUGGCCGAAGGCGGGGGAUAACCACUGGAAGCGGUGGCUAAUACCGCAUAAUCUCUAAGGAGCAAAGUGGGGGACCGUUCAGGCCUCACACCUUCGGAUGAACCCAUAUGAGAUUAGCUAGUAGGUGGGGUAAUGGCUCACCUAGGCGACGAUCUCUAGCUGGUCUGAGAGGAUGAUCAGGCAACCGGGGAGCGAGACACGGCCCAGACUCAUACGGGAGGCAGCAGUGGGGAAUAUUGCACAGUGGGCGCAAGCCUGAUGCAGCCAUGCCGCGGGUAUGAAGAAGGCCUUCGGGUUGUAAAGUACUUUCAGUCGUGAGGAAGGUGUUAAGGUUAAUAACCUUAGCAAUUGACGUUAGCGACAGAAGAAACACCGGCUAACUCCGUGCCAGCCGCCGCGGUAA
RNAcentral lists this ribosomal RNA (507 nucleotides) under uncultured bacterium. RNAcentral describes it as "partial 16S ribosomal RNA". It matches the Rfam family "Bacterial small subunit ribosomal RNA", at positions 29 to 523 of the family's 1533-position model. The record is from RNAcentral.